Molecule: ribosomal RNA, 506 nt
Filed under: uncultured bacterium
Lineage: Bacteria
Description: partial 16S ribosomal RNA
Rfam family: Bacterial small subunit ribosomal RNA
Source: RNAcentral
AUUGAACGCUGGCGGCAGGCUUAACACAUGCAAGUCGAGCGGUAACAGAGAGAAGCUUGCUUCUCUGCUGACGAGCGGCGGACGGGUGAGUAAUGCCUAGGAAUCUGCCUAGUAGUGGGGGAUAACUUGCCGAAAGGUAAGCUAAUACCGCAUACGUCCUACGGGAGAAAGGAGGGGACCUUCGGGCCUUUCGCUAUUAGAUGAGCCUAGGUCGGAUUAGUUAGUUGGUGAGGUAAUGGCUCACCAAGACCGCGAUCCGUAACUGGUCUGAGAGGAUGAUCAGUCACACUGGAACUAAGACACGGUCCAGACUCCUACGGGAGGCAGCAGUGGGGAAUAUUGGACAAUGGGGGGAACCCUGAUCCAGCCAUGCCGCUUGUGUGAAGAAGGUCUUAGGAUUGUAAAGCACUUUAAGUUGGGAGGAAGAGCAGUUAACUAAUAUUUGACUGUUUUGACGUUACCGACAGAAUAAGCACCGGCUAACUUCGUGCCAGCAGCCGCCGUAA